CAGUCGCCGCGGUAAUACGAAGGGGGCUAGCGUUGUUCGGAUUUACUGGGCGUAAAGGGCACGUAGACGGGCGAAUAAGUCAGGGGUGAAAUCCCAAGGCUCAACCUUGGAACUGCCUUUGAUACUGUUUGUCUUGAGUUCGAGAGAGGUAAGUGGAACUGCGAGUGUAGAGGUGAAAUUCGUAGAUAUUCGCAAGAACACCAGUGGCGAAGGCGGCUUACUGGCUCGAAACUGACGCUGAGGCGCGAAAGCGUGGGGAGCAAACAGGAUUAGAGACCCCCGUAGUCCCUGUCUCAUAUAC
Molecule: ribosomal RNA, 301 nt
Filed under: uncultured bacterium
Lineage: Bacteria
Description: partial 16S ribosomal RNA
Rfam family: Bacterial small subunit ribosomal RNA
Source: RNAcentral